RNAcentral lists this long non-coding RNA (411 nucleotides) under Rattus norvegicus (Norway rat). RNAcentral describes it as "long non-coding RNA NONRATT024992". Lineage: Eukaryota; Metazoa; Chordata; Mammalia; Rodentia; Muridae. The record is from RNAcentral.
UCAGCACAGUCUAUCAGAUUUUCCCGGAUGAGGUUCUGGGUUCUGGACAGUUCGGAAUUGUUUAUGGAGGUAAACAUCGUAAAACAGGAAGAGAUGUAGCUAUUAAGAUUAUUGACAAAUUAAGAUUUCCAACAAAACAAGAAAGUCAGCUUCGUAAUGAGGUUGCAAUUUUACAGAACCUUCAUCACCCUGGUGUUGUAAAUUUGGAGUGUAUGUUUGAGACGCCUGAAAGAGUGUUUGUUGUUAUGGAAAAACUCCAUGGAGACAUGCUGGAGAUGAUCCUGUCAAGUGAAAAGGGCAGGUUGCCAGAACACAUAACGAAGUUUUUAAUUACUCAGAUACUAGUGGCUUUGCGACAUCUUCAUUUUAAAAACAUCGUUCACUGUGACCUCAAGCCAGAAAAUGUGUUGC